UGGGGAAUUUUGGACAAUGGGGGCAACCCUGAUCCAGCAAUGCCGCGUGAGUGAAGAAGGCCUUCGGGUUGUAAAGCUCUUUCGGCGGGGACGAAACGGUCCGUGACAACACCACGGACUAAUGACAGUACUCGCAGAAGAAGCACCGGCUAACUACGUGCCAGCAGCCGCGGUAAUACGUAGGGUGCAGGCGUUAAUCGGAAUUACUGGGCGUAAAGCGUGCGCAGGCGGCUCCUUAAGUCAGAUGUGAAAUCCCCGGGCUUAACCUGGGAACUGCGUUUGAAACUGAGGGGCUAGAGUGUGGAAGAGGGGGGUGGAAUUCCAGGUGUAGCAGUGAAAUGCGUAGAGAUCUGGAGGAACACCGAUGGCGAAGGCAGCCCCCUGGGCUAACACUGACGCUCAUGCACGAAAGCGUGGGGAGCAAACAGGAUUAGAUACCCACGUAGUCCCUGAGCGGGCUGGCAAGGCGCAU
RNAcentral lists this ribosomal RNA (472 nucleotides) under uncultured bacterium. Its description in RNAcentral is "bacterial SSU rRNA". It matches the Rfam family "Bacterial small subunit ribosomal RNA", at positions 355 to 825 of the family's 1533-position model. The record is from RNAcentral.